AACUUUAUACGAAAUAAAAAAAAAGAAAAAAAAGAGGUCCAUCCGAGGCGUGGUUAUUGCUAGUUGAAAACUAAUCCCAAUACCCCGCGCUGACGCCCUUCACUGGGCGGCAUGCGCAAUUUUUGUUAGCUCCUACGGGGG
Small nuclear RNA from Haliotis rufescens (red abalone), 141 nucleotides. RefSeq annotates it as U4 spliceosomal RNA. NCBI's taxonomy places the organism in Eukaryota, Metazoa, Mollusca, Gastropoda, Lepetellida, Haliotidae. The record is from RefSeq and is a predicted model, not a curated record. The transcript has a single exon.